Molecule: long non-coding RNA, 1904 nt
Filed under: Homo sapiens (human)
Lineage: Eukaryota; Metazoa; Chordata; Mammalia; Primates; Hominidae
Description: HSALNT0170929
Source: RNAcentral
UUAUGGUAAUAAGACCUCCACGCAGUUCCUAAACUUUACCCCAACACUAAUCUGUUCAGACGACCUUCAGCCUAACCUGAACCUGCAGACCAAGCCCGUGGACCCGACCGUGGAGGGGGGCGCGCAGGUGCAGCAGGUGGUCAACAUAGAGUGCGUGUCCGACUUCACGGAGGCGCCAGUCCUCAACAUUCAGUUCAGGUAAGAGCCGCCUGUGCGCCCCGGGCCAAGGGGUGUGUGGGCGCCUGAGCUGUGUGCCUGGGCUCCAUGACUGUGCCUCCGUGUCCUUCCUGAGGGGACCCGGGGCGUGCGGGUGCUCACGGUGCAUGGAUGCGGCCUGAGCUAUUGCUGCCCCCGGCUCUGCAGAGCGCAGGAAACAAGGGGAGGCGGAGCCCUGGGCUCCGGGACGGCAGGUGGCAGCUCCCACAUGGGGCCUUGCUAGGAUCUUUCUGGGCACCAUGGGGCCCACCUCAUGGGGUGGCAGACAGCCAGGGCCCCCGCGCCACCUGCCCGGCUUGGUACCAGACGACAGCUGUGGGGUGCAGGCAGCUGGUUUCCUUCGGCCCCCUGGCCUGGGGGGCGCGUUUUUUGCUCAGUUGAGCUCAGAUCGUACCACUUUGCUUAUUUUUUAAAAGCAUAGGAUUUUCCUGUUGCGACUGUUCAUUACUCUCACUUUUCAGUGACUACAAAUAGCGUGGAUACAGUCAGCCCGUCCCCUGCUGGGUGUCUGCAAGGUUAGGAAUGUUGAGAAAAGCACACUUUCUAACAUUAAAAAGACAGAGAACUUAAGAUUGUAUACUGUAGAAUUCGGGGACAUAGACAUGCAAGUUUUUGUUUCAUUCUUUGUGCAAAUGCCUUUGCCUUUUUAAAGAAAAAACAUCACACUAUUUGCACAGACUUGGAGUUCUGGGAAACAGAUGAAUGGGGAGAAGUGAGGCACAGGGACGUCCUGCCUGAGUAUGCGGCCCUGGCCUGUCCUCCUGUCUGUGGGUGACACUGGACACUGAGCCACACACGAUCCGUGGGGACUGAAGGCUCGGCCCCCCGACCCGCUCUGGUGGGUGGCAGUAGAUCGGGACGCUUCUCACUCCAGGCUCUUUCCCGGUCCCUGGGGCUCUCAGAGGAGUAGCUGACUGUCUCUUUCUGCUGCUGCUGCUGCUGGCAGGUAUGGGGGCACCUUCCAGAACGUGUCUGUGCAGCUGCCCAUCACUCUCAACAAAUUCUUCCAGCCGACAGAAAUGGCUUCUCAGGAUUUCUUUCAACGUUGGAAGCAGUUGAGCAAUCCACAGCAGGAAGUGCAGAACAUCUUCAAAGCAAAGCACCCAAUGGACACAGAAGUCACCAAAGCCAAGAUCAUUGGAUUUGGUUCUGCACUUCUUGAAGAAGUUGAUCCUAAUCCUGCGAAUUUCGUGGGAGCUGGAAUCAUCCACACGAAAACCACCCAGAUUGGAUGCCUGCUGCGCUUGGAGCCGAACCUGCAAGCCCAGGUCAGGCCCUCAGGAAAUGGUGGAACACACUUGAGUUGCUUUUUAUUCUGGCACAAUGUACGUGGUGAGAUGUGUAGCUCUUUAGUGCAGUUCAGUCAGUUUUGACAGAUGUUGUUUAACCACCACCCUGUCAAUACAUGGUUGCCUCCCAGCCUCCCCGCAGCUGGCCACCGUGGAGCAUCAUCCCUAGUGCAGUUCAGUCAGUUGUGACAGAUGUUGUGUGCCUGUUUAACCACCACCCUGUCAAUACAUGGUUGCAUCCCAGCCUCCCCACAGCUGGCCACCGUGGAGCAUCGUCCCACCAUGGAGCAGCCUGGCCCUGGGCGGUGGCUCUCCCAGCUGUUCCUCUCUGUCACCGCGUUGUUCCUUCUCACCACGUCCCGUUCUGGCGACGGACACCUGUCUCCGUUUCACUUGGGU